UGUCGUCAGCUCGUGUUGUGAAAUGUUGGGUUAAGUCCCGCAACGAGCGCAACCCUUAUCCUUUGUUGCCAGCGGUCCGGCCGGGAACUCAAAGGAGACUGCCAGUGAUAAACUGGAGGAAGGUGGGGAUGACGUCAAGUCAUCAUGGCCCUUACGACCAGGGCUACACACGUGCUACAAUGGCGCAUACAAAGAGAAGCGACCUCGCGAGAGCAAGCGGACCUCAUAAAGUGCGUCGUAGUCCGGAUUGGAGUCUGCAACUCGACUCCAUGAAGUCGGAAUCGCUAGUAAUCGUGGAUCAGAAUGCCACGGUGAAUACGUUCCCGGGCCUUGUACACACCGCCCGUCACACCAUGGGAGUGGGUUGCAAAAGAAGUAGGUAGCUUAACCUUCGGGAGGGCGUUUACCACUUUGUGAUUCAUGACUGGGGUGAAGUCGUAACAAGGUAACCGUAGGGGAACCUGCGGUUGGAUCACCUCCUUACCUUAAAGAAGC
RNAcentral lists this ribosomal RNA (495 nucleotides) under Escherichia coli. RNAcentral describes it as "bacterial SSU rRNA". It matches the Rfam family "Bacterial small subunit ribosomal RNA", at positions 1050 to 1533 of the family's 1533-position model. Lineage: Bacteria; Pseudomonadati; Pseudomonadota; Gammaproteobacteria; Enterobacterales; Enterobacteriaceae. The record is from RNAcentral.